This 6704-nucleotide long non-coding RNA is filed under the name Marmota monax (woodchuck). Lineage: Eukaryota; Metazoa; Chordata; Mammalia; Rodentia; Sciuridae. The record is from RNAcentral.
UUUUUUUUUUACUUUUGUAGUGCUGGGGCUGUAACAGGGCCUCAUGUCUGCUAGGCAAGCGCUGUAUCACUGAGCAACAUCCCCAGCCCAUCUGCCUACUUGUUCUCACUGGAACCUGGCUCAACCUGGCUGCCCAUAGGAGCAGAGGCUCCUGGUCUCCUCCUACCUCUUUGCCUCGCUCACUCUGUAGCCCCCUCUCUUGCUCUUCACUAUUCCCCUUCAGUCUCCUCUUCUGAGGCUGUGCGCAUGUCAUCCCUGCCAUUCCAGCAUGCACACCAAGAACCCUAGCAUCGCACCCUCCCAUGGGGCAGGCAGUACAAGGAAAAGAGACCAGGGACUGAUGCUGUUGGUUGUGGACCAUGGGUUCCAGUCUGAACCUUCACCGGGGUAAUGAGGACCUCGUCACUCCCCAAAUUUUAAUCUCUAAUAUUCUGUCUAGUUUUCCUGCUCCCCCAGCCCCUCUGCUUCCCCUGAAUCUUGUCCGUGUUUCUCCAACUCCCCUUAGGAGUGUGGCUUUCCCUGAGAGCUGUGGUCCCACCAGCACUCUGUUUAACCAUUUAUUGUCUCACCAGCCUGACUGGCACCUCUGUCUCCUUCUGUACUGCCUGUCCCUCCUGUCCUGCCUCCUCUAGGAGGAGGAGUCUGCAAGCUUUUUCUGUAAAGGGCAAGAUAGCAAGUAUUUUAGGCCUUGUUGGUCUUCCCUCCUGGUCACAGGUAAAUGAACGAUCCUCUCCUGGGGAGAUAGCUGAAGGGAGAGAGGAUGCAUCCAGGAUGAGGGAACACAGAACAGUGUGGGGCUGAAUCUAAAGGGAAAGGCUAGGAGCCUGAAGAGUAUUUUUUAUUUGUUUAUUUUUUUGGUACUAGGGAUUGAACCCAGGGGUGCUUAACCACUGAGCCACAUCCCCACUCUUUUUUUAUUUUUUUAUUUUGGUAAGUUGUUAGGGACUCACUAAGUUGCUGAGUCUGGUCUUGAACUUGCAAUCCUUAAGAUAGGAGUUUUUCUUUCGCUAAAUGGUCCAUGGAGGGAAUAGCUCUCCACAAUAUCAGGAACUCUGGCCUGUUGGAUUCUUUCACGGUAUCCUUCAUAUCCUCCAUUUCCAAGAUUGCUCAUUGUACAAGAUGGCUGUUUGAAUUCCAGCCACCAACUCUUUACUGCCUGGCCAUGGAAGGAAAAGGUAAAGAGGUGGAUAUGUUCUCCCUGUGGUAGACACCCUCGAUAAUGACGCCCAGUGAUCUCUGCCUCUUGGUGUUCACAUCUUUGUCUAACUCCCUCUCCCUCAGUAUGGCUGGAUGUAUCGAUUCACUUCCAAGGAACAGAAUACAGAAAGUGAGAGCUUGUCAAUGGUCGAGUGCCCCUGGGUUCAAUGUCCCAGUACUGCAAAAAAAAAAAAAAAAAAAGUACAACUUGUUACCUCCAAGACUAAUUCAUAAAAAGAUGGUGAGUUUUGUCUUGGAGGCUUUUCUCACUUUCUCUUGGAUUGCACACUCUGGGGAGUGAAGCAGUCCUGGGCUCUGCCUCAUGAAAGAAUUGGAAAUGAAUCUUUUUUUUUUUUUUUUUAGUACCGGGGAUUAAACCCAGAGGCACUUAACCACUGAGCCACAUCCAGCCCUUUUAAAUGUUUUACUUAGAAAUGGUCUCACUAAGUUGCUUAGGGCCAGCUGAGGCUGGCUUUGAACCCGUGAUCCUCCUUCUCGGCCUCCUGAACUCCAGGAUUACAGGCAGGCGCUACUGCACUCAGCUCAACAUUCUUCAGGGGAGUACCAGGGAUUGAACUCAGGGGCACUUGACCACUGAGCCACAUCUCCAGCUCUAUUUUGUAUUAUAUUUAGAGAGGAUUUCACUGAGUUGCUUAUUGCCUCACUUUUGCUGAGGCUGGUUUUGAACUUGCCAUCUUCCUGCCUCAGCCUCUGGAGCCACUGGGAUUACAGGCGUGCACCACAGCCCCUGGCUCAUCCUUUUUUAAAAAAUAUUUUUUAAUAGUUGGUAGACCUUUAUUUUUAUUUAUUUAUACAUGGUGCUGAGAAUUGAACCCAUGCUGAGAACCUCACACAUGCUAGGCGAGUGCGCUACCUCUGAGCCCUAGCCCCAGCCCCUGGCUCAUCAUUUUUAAAAAACAUUUAAUGAUUUAUUUUGGGGGGUACCAAGGAUUAAAACCCAGAGUGCUUAACCUCUGAUUUUGUGUGUGUGUGGUGCUGGGGACUGAACUCAGGACCUUAGGCAUGCUAAGCAAGUGCUCUAGCUCUGAGCUACAUCUUCAGCCCUAAACCCAGCAUUUUAAAGCAGAGGAUCCUUCUUGACAUGUGGACCCUCCCUCCUUGAGCUCUCGAAUCUUCUCUGGUUCUUCUGCUGAUUUCCUGUUCAAGCCCCUCCAAACUUAAGUCCCAGCUCUGCCCCCAUGAGACUUUCCAUCCCUCCUGAUGUGAGAGAGGUUCUAGGCCAUUUUCCUCCUGCUGUCAAAUUCCAGCUGGAAGGGCAGUAGAGUCAUCCUGUGCUUGGUUGUCCUUGUGGAUUCCCAGGAAGAUGGGGUUGGGGCUCUUGUCCUCCCAAUCGUAGGUGUUUCCCUUUAGUUCCAUCCCUUUCUAUCAGCAGUGGCUAUAGCCAUUUCACUUCUCAGUUACCAAAGGGCAGAUUCACCUCAUCACCAUAGAACUAAAUUUCUCCCAACCCUCCAGUCAUAAAAAAGCAUAAUUUCCUCCUAUUGACAGAAUUUUUCCCUGUUCCCUGAAAAAUGGUAAAGAUUCCCUAGGCUUUUGGUCCCAAAAAGGAAUUUUCUUUCCUUUUCCUCCUGGGCUUUUUUUUUUUUUCAAACUGGGAACUUAACCACUGAGCCACAUCCCAAGCUCAUUUUAAAAAUUUUUACUUAGGGCUGGGGAUGUGGCUCAAGUGGUAGCGUGCUCGCCUGCCAUGCAUGCGGCCCGGGUUCGAUCCUCAGCACCACAUACAAACAAAGAUGUUGUGUCUGUCAAAAAUAAAAUAAGUAAAUAAAUAUUUAAAAAAGGGAAAAAAAAGAAAAUGAUUAGGGGCGGGGGUUGUGGCUCAGCAGUAGAGUGCUCGCCUAGCACGUGCGCGGCCCUGGGUUUGAUCCUUAGCACCACAUAAAAAUAAAUAAAUAAAAUAAAGGUAUUGUGUCCAACUACAACUGAAAAAUAAAUACAAAAAAAAAAAAAGAUUAAAUGCUUUCAUCUUGACUAUGAAGAAUUUCAGCAAAAUACUUACAACUGGGUGGGUAAAUUAUAAACAACAGAAGUUUAUUUGGCUCACUGUUCUGGAGCUUGAGAAGUCCAAGAUCAAGGGGCUGCAUCUAGAGAGGGUCUUCUUGCUGCUUCAUAACAUGGUAAAAUGCAUCACAUGGCAAGAGAAAGAAAAAGAGAAUAAAAGAGAAAAAAGGGGCUUAGCUCCCCUUUUAUAAAUAAACUGCUCCCACAAUAACAACCUUAAUCUAUUUAUGAGGAUGGUGCCCCCAUGACCUAAUCGACUCUGAAAGGUUCCACCUCUCAACUGUCAUAUUGGGGAUUAAGUUUCCAAUGCAUUAAUUUUUAAAUAUUUGGUUAAUUAGUCAGUUAUUGGUACUGGCAAUUGAAUCCAAGACUGGUAUAGUGCUCUACCAUUGAGUUACAUCCCCAGCUCCUUCUUUUACAUUUUUAUUUUUUGAGACUGAGUCUCAUUAAAUUGCCCAGUCUGGCCUCAAACAUUCAAUCCUCCUGCCUCAGCCUUCCAAGUUUCUGAGAUUACAGGCAUGUUCCAACAUGUCCAGCACCAACAUAUGAAUUUUUUUAAAAAAUAUCUUUUUAGUUGUCAGUGGACCUUUAUUUUAUUUAUUAUAUGUGGUGCUGAGAAUUGAACCCAUGUUAGGUAAGCAUUCUACCACUGAGCUAUAAUCCCGGCCCUCCAACACAUGAAUUUUGAGGGACACAUUAAACCCAUAGCUGUGAAUUAUUCUUUUUUUUUAAUAUUUAUUUUUUAGGUGUAGAUACACAAUGCCUUUAUUUUUUUUUUUCUAUGUGGUGCUGAGGAUUGAACCUGGGUCCCACCCAUGCUAGGCGAGUGCUCUACCGCUAAGCCCCAAUCCCAGCCUAGCUGUGAAUUAUUCUGAGCUAGAUCUCUGAUUCCUAAAUCUUCCUCUAAUCUUGGUAGAGUUUGGUCAUUUUGCCAGACUACUGAAACUGAAAAAAGAAAUAGGCAUCUAGUAGGGGGAUGUGAAUGAAUUAUGUUCUGAAGACUUUGCUCUGUGGGGUAGGCAGUGAGAGAGGAAGCAGGGGAGUUUGGAGUUCAGCAUAGAGAAGGCUGGAACUGGUCUUGUGGAGACAGAGAUGACUACAGGAGAACCACUCACACCCAUGUUCUCCACACUGUUGAAGGGCCCAGGAGAUUGGUGACCAUGAAUUCUAAGCUGCAUCAUUUGGCCUCUGCAGUGUACAACUUCCAGGGGGUAUCACUAUCCUCGGUCUACUUUUCUUGGUCUACUACUAGCACCAUUGUCCCCUAUAUUGUGAACUCAACCACACAUCUGGCUAGCUUAUCAACCACCAACUUUAAAAAUGCAACUGCUAAAUAUUCGUCAAAUCCCUCCUCUUGUUUUCUUGCACUUUUUAACAAAUUCCUCUCUGUCCUCUCUUCUCCUCUUCUCUCUAUUCAGCUGAUAGACUGGAUGUGAGGUGUUUGGUAGAAGGAGAUGUUGAGAAAGACUUUCUGCUUUUGGAGACUCCCUAACCCCUUGACCUCUACAGCUCUUCACUCCUCCCUCCUCCAUGAUCAUGCCUUGCGGAUCUUUCCAUGGCCCAUGUUUCACUGUCAGCUCCUUAAGUGAUGUGAUUCUCCAAGGUCCCUGACCAUCUCUAUCCACUCUUGCUGGAAAGCUCAUUAACUUCAAGUCUUAAUUAUAUGUUGUCAUUUUAUAGGUCUUUAUCUCACUUUUUAACUAUUUAUUGUGUUCCACAUCAUUAUUUCUACCUAUUGGAUAUAUUUAUCUAGAUAUUUAUUAGGUAGGUACCUCAAAGGGUGGAGGAUGAGAGAGAGACAUUUUAGUCAAAGGGAGCAAAAUUUCUGUUAGGAGGAAGAUUGUGGAUUGUGGCAAUCUCCUCCUAGCUAUCCUCCUUGAUUUCUGGUCUUCUCCUGCCCAUCCUCCAUGUUACAGCCAUGGGGAUCUUUUUGAUCUUUUUGAAGGGUAAUCUGGCCAUAUUCUUUAUCUCUUUACCUCUAAAGUCUUACUGCUAUUUUCAGGAUAAAAUUCAAGUUCCUUGUUCAAGUACACCAAGCUUUUCAGGAUUAUAUCUCCAUCUCCAGCCAUAUCUAUUUUCCUUUUCCACACAAGCACCCAUUGCCUCAGAUUGACUGACCCCCCUGGCAGUUACUGAAUAUGUCCUUUUCACUGUUACCCCUACUGCCCCUCCACCCCCAAUGCCCUGCCCUGUCACUACUUGUUUAUCUGUUAAGGAAUCCAUGCCCGCCAUAUUGGAUUGGAUAUCCUUUCCCUCCUAUGUGCUCCCACAGCACCACAAGCCCAGCUUGCCUUUCUCACAGCAUGAGUUUCACUGAUCUCACUCCAUUCAUGGUCCCAAAGUUCCAAGAGGACUAGGACAGGAUCUGGUUUGUCUCUGUGUUCCCUGUGCUGGGUGGUCCCUGGCACAGAAUUGUUGAAAAUACUUGGAAGAAAACUAAAUGAUAAUGAAAGCAUCUAUCAGAGUUUCUCUUUUUUUCUUCCUCCUUUUCUUUCCUUUUUUCCUUCCAGUACUAGGAUGGAACCUGGGGGCCCUCUACCACUGAGCUAUAUACCCAACCUUUUUUCAUUUAUUUCGAGGCAGGGUCUCAAUAAAUUUUCCAGGCUGGUCUUGAACUUGAGAUCCUCCUGCUUCAGUCUCCUGAGUCAUUGGGAUUACAGGUGUGUGCCAGUGAGUACAGCUAGGGUUUCUACUACCUAUUUUUCUAAAUACAUUUUUCAUGUUGCUGACAGUGUUAAUUUCCUAUUAACAAGAUUUCAUCAUGUAACUUAUCUGUUUAAAAAGCUGUCUUGAUUCUCUUUCCUCUAGUUUAUCACAGUUUAGCUUCAUCCAUUCCUUUGACUUAGGUUCCUUCCUUCCUUCCUUCCUUCCUUCCUUCCUUCCUUCCUUCCUUCCUUCCUUCCUUCCUCCCUCCCUCCCUCCCUCCCUUCCUUCCUUCCUUCCUUCCUUUUUCUCUUUCUUUCAUACUGGGAAUUAAAUCAAGAGGUACUUUCCCAUUGAGCUACAUCCUCAGUCUUUUUUAUUUUUUAAUUUUGAUACAAGGUCUUAGUAAGUUUCUGAGAGUCUCAUUAAGUUGCUGAGGCUGGCCCAGAACUUGCAAUCCUCCUGCUUCAGCCUCCUGAGUUCCUGGGAUUACAGACAUGUACCUCUACACCUGGUGGCACCAUUUAUAAGUUGAUUGUGCCCACAUCAUCACUGUUUUCAACUCAAAACUCUCUCUCUGCACCCCCAUAUGUAUGUGUGUGUGUGUGUGUAUGCAUGUAUGUAUAUAUGUGUUUGUACAUAUAUACAUACAUACAUACACACCUACAUAAGUAGGUAACAAUAUAUAAUGUUUUACAUAUACAACAAUAUCACAUAUAAUUUUAUCUAAUUAUAUAAUUUCAUAACGUGUAAUUAUUUUAUAACAAUGUUGUAUUGAUACAUACAUUAAAUAAUAAGUAUUAUAACCAACUUGUGAGUCUUGAAGAAAUAUUAAACUAAAA